Molecule: ribosomal RNA, 163 nt
Filed under: uncultured bacterium
Lineage: Bacteria
Description: partial 16S ribosomal RNA
Source: RNAcentral
CCUUUCCCUACGGGAGGCAGCAGUGGGGAAUCUUACACAAUGGACGAAAGCCUGAUCCAGCAAAGCCGCCGAGCAAGAAGGCGCUCCGCUGGUAAAGCUCUCUUUCGGGAGGAAAAAUACUGCUACCCCCCGACAAGACGGUACACAGAAAGCAAGCUACUCG